Olea europaea var. sylvestris is the source of this 625-nucleotide long non-coding RNA. RefSeq lists it as uncharacterized. The record is from RefSeq and is a predicted model, not a curated record. Lineage: Eukaryota; Viridiplantae; Streptophyta; Magnoliopsida; Lamiales; Oleaceae. The transcript is spliced from 2 exons.
AUCAAAUAAAAAAAAAAAAAAAGGGAAAAUUGUAAUAGCAGUCAGGCAAACCUCAAUUGGCGAUGGUCUCAUGGAGACCAUGAGAAAGUUCUCAUCUUUGGCAUCUAGGGCGUCACUUGCAAUUCCAAACCUUCGAAUUCACAAGCAGAAACAACUUCAAAAUUCGAAACCCUCAAUUUUCAGCUCUUUGAUCAAUCUUGGUCAAAAAGCCAGAAAUAUCUACAUAUUUGAUACAGCUUUCUGAAUUGGACGAGAAGUUGUGAAGGAAAGGUCACUCUCUGUCCAUGGUUGGUGAGGGCAGUCAUUCUUAUGGAGAGACACUUGAAUUGGUGAAAAGGAGCAGUCGGGAAUCCAACUCAAGAAUGAGACUCAAGUCUCGUUAGAUGGUUUAAUGCAGAUAGUGGAGCGAAAAGUUGUUCAGGUGCAAUACUAUCAGUCAGCAUACAGGAAUUCAAUCAUGGAGGACGGGUGCGGAUAAUGGCUUCAGUUUUGAAUUGAGUCAGUAUAAAAAUUGUGUGUCACCUUUGGGGUUAGAUUGUCCACUGUGACACCACUCUGUGAAGAAUCGUGUAAUGAUAGUUAAUUGUUUCUUUAAUCUUGAUGACAUUUAGAAAAAUGAAAUUAA